This 596-nucleotide ribosomal RNA is filed under the name Schizophyllum commune. Its description in RNAcentral is "eukaryotic LSU rRNA". The stretch from base 140 to 293 matches the Rfam family "5.8S ribosomal RNA". The record is from RNAcentral. Lineage: Eukaryota; Fungi; Basidiomycota; Agaricomycetes; Agaricales; Schizophyllaceae.
GGCGNGANGAUCCGGAGGUGACCUGCGGACUUAUCAUUAUGCGGAGGAGAGGGUUGGGCCGGGGGGGAUUCUUUUUACAACACGGGGGGGAGCGGAGAGCAGCGGAGGGGAUGGUCUUGAUAGGCCUGAAGCUUAAUACAACUUUCGACAACGGAUCUCUUGGCUCUCGCAUCGAUGAAGAACGCAGCGAAAUGCGAUAAGUAAUGUGAAUUGCAGAAUUCAGUGAAUCAUCGAAUCUUUGAACGCACCUUGCGCCCUUUGGUAUUCCGAGGGGCAUGCCUGUUUGAGUGUCAUUAAAUACCAUCAACCCUCUUUUGACUUCGGUCUCGAGAGUGGCUUGGAAGUGGAGGUCUGCUGGAGCCUAACGGAGCCAGCUCCUCUUAAAUGUAUUAGCGGAUUUCCCUUGCGGGAUCGCGUCUCCGAUGUGAUAAUUUCUACGUCGUUGACCAUCUCGGGGCUGACCUAGUCAGUUUCAAUAGGAGUCUGCUUCCAACCGUCUCUUGACCGAGACUAGCGACUUGUGCGCUAACUUUUGACUUGACCUCAAAUCAUGUAGGACUACCCGCUGAACUUAAGCAUAUCAAUAAUCGGAGGAA